CCUACGGGAGGCAGCAGUGAGGAAUAUUGGUCAAUGGACGAGAGUCUGAACCAGCCAAGUAGCGUGAAGGAUGACUGCCCUAUGGGUUGUAAACUUCUUUUAUAGGGGAAUAAAAUGUGCCACGUGUGGGAUUUUGUAUGUACCAUAUGAAUAAGGAUCGGCUAACUCCGUGCCAGCAGCCGCGGUAAUACGGAGGAUCCGAGCGUUAUCCGGAUUUAUUGGGUUUAAAGGGAGCGUAGGUGGAUUGUUAAGUCAGUUGUGAAAGUUUGCGGCUCAACCGUAAAAUUGCAGUUGAAACUGGCAGGCUUGAGUACAGUAGCGGUGGGCGGAAUUCGUGGUGUAGCGGUGAAAUGCUUAGAUAUCACGAAGAACUCCGAUUGCGAAGGCAGCUCACUGGACUGCAACUGACACUGAGGCUCGAAAGUGUGGGUAUCAAACAGGAUUAGAUACCCUUGUAGUC
RNAcentral lists this ribosomal RNA (460 nucleotides) under uncultured bacterium. Its description in RNAcentral is "partial 16S ribosomal RNA". It matches the Rfam family "Bacterial small subunit ribosomal RNA", at positions 338 to 795 of the family's 1533-position model. The record is from RNAcentral.